This 405-nucleotide ribosomal RNA is filed under the name uncultured bacterium. Its description in RNAcentral is "partial 16S ribosomal RNA". It matches the Rfam family "Bacterial small subunit ribosomal RNA", at positions 30 to 526 of the family's 1533-position model. The record is from RNAcentral.
AUUGAACGCUGGCGGCAGGCUUAACACAUGCAAGUCGAACGAGUGGCGGACGGGUGAGUAAUGCUUGGGAAUCUAGCUUAUGGAGGGGGAUAACUACGGGAAACUGUAGCUAAUACCGCGUACCAUAGGAUGAGCCCAAGUGGGAUUAGGUAGUUGGUGAGGUAAAGGCUCACCAAGCGGUCGAGCGCUAGCUGGUCUGAGAGGAUGACCAGCCAAUCUGGUAUGGACACACGGCGGUGACUCCUACGCGAGGCAGCAGUGGGGAAUAUUGCGCAAUGGAGGCAACCUGACGCAGCCAUGCAGAGUGAAUGAAGAAGGCCUUCGGGUUGUAAAGUGCUUUCGGUAGCGAGGCGUUAACUACAGAAGAAGCACCGGCUAACUCCGUGCCAGCAGCCGCGGUAAUAC